This is a long non-coding RNA of Bos taurus (domestic cattle), 1199 nucleotides long. NCBI's taxonomy places the organism in Eukaryota, Metazoa, Chordata, Mammalia, Artiodactyla, Bovidae. The record is from Ensembl.
GUCCGACUUGUCAGUAUCACCUCAACUUACCAGGUAUUUCUCAACUUUACACUUUUCUUCGGCCUUACUCAGAAAGUUUACAAAUUCGAAUUCAACCUUUCAGAAAACAUUUACUGAGCAUCAGUUUUAUGCCACGAAUUGUGCUGGGGCUGCAGAUAUAAGGAUGACUCAGAGACAGACUUUAGGUUUCAGGUUACAGUCAAGACAGGAAGACAGGCAGCUGGACAGAUCACUUCAAUGCAAUGUGAUAUAUGCUAAGGCAGAGAAAUGCACGAGGAGCUCGUAGAGAACACAGAAGAGGCAUCCAACCCAGCCUGUAGAUCAGGAAAUGCUGCCAGGAGAAGGUGACUCCAGAGAGGCAUCUUGAUGGGUGGAUUCUUUACCACUGAGCCACUGGGAAACCCUCACUGAUGUUCAGCCAGAGGAGAUGCCAAACUCCCUCAACACAGCAAUCCUAUAUGACAAAGACUUGUCCUGUUCAGAAAGCCUGCAGUGCCCAGGAUGAGAAGAAGGGUAUCUGAUCUCUUUUGCAGCUCCUAAUUUUGUCUUCUGUAAAUUUUCUUCUUCUGUUUAUCACCAGGCAUCCUGCCAGCCAAGCUGCCUGAAUAGCAGGUUAAAUGGUCACUCAACUGUCAUCGAACUCCUUUUCCCUUUCAGAAGCAACUGGAGGCAAGCCAACGCCCAUUACUGACCUAGUUCCACAGCAUCUUAAGAUUUCCACAGUGGUUUCUACUAGCCAAUUCUCAUGUCAACACAUGCUUCAAGUUAGUUUUGUUAUUAGUGGUUUGUAAGUGGAGAGACUCCAAUACAGAUAUAGAAACCUGUUCGUGUCUCCUACAUUUAAUUCAGAGUCAGACCAUAGGAAGCUAUUUUCAAAGUUACACUAAUUCUUUCAAAUCUCUAGGAAAUGUACUUAGUAGGGUGUCAUUUGUGAAGAAAUUUUAAUAUAAACAUCUCUUGCUUUUGGAAUUCAAAUACUUUUGUGGCCUAGUUAUGAAAAGUGAAUCUCCUCCACUGGUUUUUAUUGUAUUAUUGAAGAUACAUUCAAAUUUUUAAUCUCUUUAAAGAGAUGAAUGCAUUAUUGCCAUCUCUUUGAGCCUGUCUUUUCAAGUCUCUUACAUUUUAUCUUGUGUUAUUGGCCCUCUUUGAGGGACUGAGGUAUCUUUCUAAUCCUAAUAAAUUAAAAGUGUUUUGAGGGC